Molecule: ribosomal RNA, 332 nt
Filed under: uncultured Bacillota bacterium
Lineage: Bacteria; Bacillati; Bacillota
Description: bacterial SSU rRNA
Rfam family: Bacterial small subunit ribosomal RNA
Source: RNAcentral
GACGAACGCUGGCGGCGUGCCUAACACAUGCAAGUCGAGCGGAGAUGUAGAGUAGUUUACUACGAAGCAUCUUAGCGGCGGACGGGUGAGUAACGCGUGGGCAACCUGCCUUACAGAGGGGGAUAACAGUGCGAAAGCACUGCUAAUACCGCAUGAAAUUGUGAUAUCACAUGGUAUUGCAAUCAAAGGAGAAAUCCGCUGUAAGAUGGGCCCGCGUCUGAUUAGCUAGUUGGUGAGGUAAUGGCUCACCAAGGCGACGAUCAGUAGCCGAUCUGAGAGGAUGAACGGCCACACUGGAACUGAGACACGGUCCAGACUCCUACGGGAGGCUG